AAAAAAACAAAUCUUAAGUUUCAGUGUACAAUGUUUAACCGUUCAUCUUAUUUAAAAAAAAUAUAAAAAACAUUAUAAAGAUAGUCCCGCAUAAAGUAUUAAUUAUAUUUUAUCAUCUAACAAUAAUAAAAAUACUAAUUAUAAAAAAAUUUAUAUAAGACAAACAGUCAAAUGUUGGACACGGAAAUUCAGGGUUUGUCUUUUU
Oryza glaberrima (African rice) is the source of this 205-nucleotide non-coding RNA. The record is from Rfam. NCBI's taxonomy places the organism in Eukaryota, Viridiplantae, Streptophyta, Magnoliopsida, Poales, Poaceae.